Molecule: ribosomal RNA, 169 nt
Filed under: Tridentiger bifasciatus (Shimofuri goby)
Lineage: Eukaryota; Metazoa; Chordata; Actinopteri; Gobiiformes; Gobiidae
Description: partial 12S rRNA
Source: RNAcentral
CACCGCGGUUAUACGGGAGACCCAAGUUGACAAACGUCGGCGUAAAACGUGGUUUAUUACAUUAUUACACUAAAGCUAAACCUCUUCAAGACUGUUGUACGUGUUCGAAAGAGAGAGAAUCUUCUACGAAAGUGGCUUUAAAUACUAUGAACCCACGAAAGCUAGGAAA